UACGUAGAAGGCGAACGUUAUCCGGAUUUACUGGGCGUAAAGCGGGUGUAGACGGUUUUCUAAGUCAGUCGUGAAAUCUCCCGACUCAAUCGGGAGACUGCAAUUGAUACUGGAGAGCUUGAGGGCAUCAGAAGAAAGCAGAAUUCACGGUGUAGCGGUGAAAUGCGUAGAUAUCGUGAGGAAUACCAGUGGCGCAAGCGGCUUUCUAGGAUGCUCCUGACGUUGAGGCCCGAAAGUGUGGGGAGCGAAACGG
Molecule: ribosomal RNA, 253 nt
Filed under: uncultured prokaryote
Description: partial 16S ribosomal RNA
Rfam family: Bacterial small subunit ribosomal RNA
Source: RNAcentral